RNAcentral lists this unclassified non-coding RNA (420 nucleotides) under Hevea brasiliensis (rubber tree). The record is from RNAcentral. Lineage: Eukaryota; Viridiplantae; Streptophyta; Magnoliopsida; Malpighiales; Euphorbiaceae.
AAGUUUAGGUCAAUGGUUUUUUCAGUUUUGAUGUGAAAUUACUAUGAUUUUUUUAUUAUUAUUAUUUUAAGAAAUCAAGCUACUUAAUUCAAAACAGGAGUUAACAACUAUCGAUCCUGGUGAUUUUCACCUUUUUUUAAUUAUUAGGUAAAAUGGCAUACGGCUUCAAACUGCUCUAAGAUAAUAGUGAUUAAUGGAAAAAUGGAAAUAUUUUGUUGUAAUUAUCACCUUCUAGAGUAAAUGAGAAAAAUUCUGAGGUUCAAUGUGGAAAAGUAAGUUAAUUUAACUAAGUUUGAUGAGUUAAUUUAACUAAGUUUGAUGCUUAAUUUUGAUGUGCCUAUAAGAUUGGCAAAUGAUAAAAUGAAAAUAGGAGGAUGAUGACAGAAGAAAAUACAAAUUAAAAAUGAAGUUAAACUUCCA